AGAGUUUGAUCCUGGCUCAGGACGAACGCUGGCGGCGUGCUUUACACAUGCAAGUCGAGCGAUGAGAUCCCUUCGGGGAGGGAUUAGCGGCGAACGGGUGAGGAACACGUGAGGAAUCUGCCUUCAACACUGGGAUAACUCCGGGAAACCGGGGCUAAUACCGGAUACGAGACCUGCAGGCAUCUGCGGGUCUGGAAAGUUUUUCGGUUGAAGAUGACCUCGCGGCCUAUCAGCUUGUUGGUGAGGUAAUGGCUCACCAAGGCGACGACGGGUAGCCGGCCUGAGAGGGCGACCGGCCACACUGGGACUGAGACACGGCCCAGACUCCUACGGGAGGCAGCAGUGGGGAAUAUUGGGCAAUGGAGGGAACUCUGACCCAGCGACGCCGCGUGCGGGAUGAAGGCCUUCGGGUUGUAAACCGCUUUCAGCAAGGAAGAAGCGAAAGUGACGGUACUUGCAGAAGAAGCACCGGCUAACUAUGUGCCAGCAGCCGCGGUAAUACAUAGGGUGCAAGCGUUGUCCGGAAUUAUUGGGCGUAAAGAGCUCGUAGGUGGUUCGUCACGUCGGAUGUGAAAAUCUGGGGCUUAACCCCAGACCUGCAUUCGAUACGGGCGAGCUAGAGUGUGGUAGGGGAGACUGGAAUUCCUGGUGUAGCGGUGGAAUGCGCAGAUAUCAGGAGGAACACCAAUGGCGAAGGCAGGUCUCUGGGCCAUUACUGACACUGAGGAGCGAAAGCGUGGGGAGCGAACAGGAUUAGAUACCCUGGUAGUCCACGCCGUAAACGGUGGGCACUAGUUGUGGGGACCUUCCACGGUCUCUGCGACGCAGCUAACGCAUUAAGUGCCCCGCCUGGGGAGUACGAUCGCAAGAUUAAAACUCAAAGGAAUUGACGGGGCCCCGCACAAGCAGCGGAGCAUGCGGCUUAAUUC
RNAcentral lists this ribosomal RNA (929 nucleotides) under uncultured bacterium. RNAcentral describes it as "bacterial SSU rRNA". It matches the Rfam family "Bacterial small subunit ribosomal RNA", at positions 8 to 952 of the family's 1533-position model. The record is from RNAcentral.